AGCAUAUCAAUAAGCGGAGGAAAAGAAACCAACAGGGAUUGCCCUAGUAACGGCGAGUGAAGCGGCAACAGCUCAAAUUUGAAAUCUGGCGCAAGCCCGAGUUGUAAUUUGUAGAGGAUGUUUCUGGCGACGUGCCUUCCGAGUUCCCUGGAACGGGACGCCAUAGAGGGUGAGAGCCCCGUACGGUUGGAUGCCUAGCCUCUGUGAAACUCCUUCGACGAGUCGAGUAGUUUGGGAAUGCUGCUCUAAAUGGGAGGUAUACGUCUUCUAAAGCUAAAUACCGGCCAGAGACCGAUAGCGCACAAGUAGAGUGAUCGAAAGAUGAAAAGCACUUUGAAAAGAGGGUUAAAAAGUACGUGAAAUUGUUGAAAGGGAAGCGUUCAUGACCAGACUUGGGCAGGUUGAUCAUCCGUGGUUCUCCGCGGUGCACUCUGCCUGCCCAGGCCAGCAUCAGUUCGCCCCGGGGGAUAAAGGCUUUGGGAAUGUGGCUCCCUCGGGAGUGUUAUAGCCCACUGUGUAAUACCCUGGGGUGGACUGAGGUUCGCGCUCUGCAAGGAUGCUGGCGUAAUGGUCAUCAACGACCCGUCUUGAAACACGGACCAAGGAGUCGUCUUCGUAUGCGAGUGUUCGGGUGUCAAACCCCUACGCGUAAUGAAAGUGAACGUAGGAGAGAGCUUCGGCGCAUCUCCGACCGAUCCUGAUGUUCUCGGAUGGAUUUGAGUAAGAGCAUACGGGGCCGGACCCGAAAGAAGGUGAACUAUGCCUGUAUAGGGUGAAGCCAGAGGAAACUCUGGUGGAGGCUCGCAGCGGUUCUGACGUGCAAAUCGAUCGUCAAAUAUGGGCAUGGGGGCGAAAGACUAAUCG
This 864-nucleotide ribosomal RNA is filed under the name Clonostachys rosea. Its description in RNAcentral is "LSU rRNA". It matches the Rfam family "Eukaryotic large subunit ribosomal RNA", at positions 37 to 937 of the family's 3401-position model. The record is from RNAcentral. Lineage: Eukaryota; Fungi; Ascomycota; Sordariomycetes; Hypocreales; Bionectriaceae.